CACGCAGAGCUUGCUCUCGGGUGACGAGUGGCGGACGGGUGAGUAAUGUCUGGGAAACUGCCUGAUGGAGGGGGAUAACUACUGGAAACGGUAGCUAAUACCGCAUAAUGUCGCAAGACCAAAGAGGGGGACCUUCGGGCCUCUUGCCAUCAGAUGUGCCCAGAUGGGAUUAGCUAGUAGGUGGGGUAACGGCUCACCUAGGCGACGAUCCCUAGCUGGUCUGAGAGGAUGACCAGCCACACUGGAACUGAGACACGGUCCAGACUCCUACGGGAGGCAGCAGUGGGGAAUAUUGCACAAUGGGCGCAAGCCUGAUGCAGCCAUGCCGCGUGUAUGAAGAAGGCCUUCGGGUUGUAAAGUACUUUCAGCGGGGAGGAAGGCGUUGUGGUUAAUAACCACAGCAAUUGACGUUACCCGCAGAAGAAGCACCGGCUAACUCCGUGCCAGCAGCCGCGGUAAUACGGAGGGUGCAAGCGUUAAUCGGAAUUACUGGGCGUAAAGCGCACGCAGGCGGUCUGUCAAGUCGGAUGUGAAAUCCCCGGGCUCAACCUGGGAACUGCAUUCGAAACUGGCAGGCUAGAGUCUUGUAGAGGGGGGUAGAAUUCCAGGUGUAGCGGUGAAAUGCGUAGAGAUCUGGAGGAAUACCGGUGGCGAAGGCGGCCCCCUGGACAAAGACUGACGCUCAGGUGCGAAAGCGUGGGGAGCAAACAGGAUUAGAUACCCUGGUAGUCCACGCCGUAAACGAUGUCGACUUGGAGGUUGUGCCCUUGAGGCGUGGCUUCCGGAGCUAACGCGUUAAGUCGACCGCCUGGGAGUACGGCCGCAAGGUUAAAACUCAAAUGAAUUGACGGGGGCCCGCACAAGCGGUGGAGCAUGUGGUUUAUUCGAUGCACGCGAGACUUACCUACUCUUGACAUCAGAGACUUACAGAGAUGCUUUGUGC
Molecule: ribosomal RNA, 943 nt
Filed under: Enterobacter ludwigii
Lineage: Bacteria; Pseudomonadati; Pseudomonadota; Gammaproteobacteria; Enterobacterales; Enterobacteriaceae
Description: bacterial SSU rRNA
Rfam family: Bacterial small subunit ribosomal RNA
Source: RNAcentral